GCCGAGGUAGCUCAGUUGGUAGAGCAUUCCGCUGAAGCCGGAAGGGUCCCCGGUUCGAGCCCGGGCCUCGGCACAA
RNAcentral lists this transfer RNA (76 nucleotides) under Candidatus Kaiserbacteria bacterium RIFCSPHIGHO2_01_FULL_50_13. Its description in RNAcentral is "tRNA-Phe". It matches the Rfam family "tRNA". Rfam says of the family: Transfer RNA (tRNA) molecules are approximately 80 nucleotides in length. Their secondary structure includes four short double-helical elements and three loops (D, anti-codon, and T loops). RNAcentral also lists the same sequence under 2 other names. The record is from RNAcentral. Lineage: Bacteria; Candidatus Kaiseribacteriota.